Molecule: ribosomal RNA, 47 nt
Filed under: uncultured Thelephoraceae
Lineage: Eukaryota; Fungi; Basidiomycota; Agaricomycetes; Thelephorales; Thelephoraceae
Description: partial 18S ribosomal RNA
Source: RNAcentral
CAGUCGCGUCACGGUUUCCGUUUUUGAACCUGCGCCACGGAUCAUUA